This 460-nucleotide ribosomal RNA is filed under the name uncultured bacterium. RNAcentral describes it as "partial 16S ribosomal RNA". It matches the Rfam family "Bacterial small subunit ribosomal RNA", at positions 338 to 795 of the family's 1533-position model. The record is from RNAcentral.
CCUACGGGAGGCAGCAGUGAGGAAUAUUGGUCAAUGGACGAGAGUCUGAACCAGCCAAGUAGCGUGAAGGAUGACUGCCCUAUGGGUUGUAAACUUCUUUUAUAUGGGAAUAAAAUGUUCCACGUGUGGGAUUUUGUAUGUACCAUAUGAAUAAGGAUCGGCUAACUCCGUGCCAGCAGCCGCGGUAAUACGGAGGAUCCGAGCGUUAUCCGGAUUUAUUGGGUUUAAAGGGAGCGUAGGUGGAUUUUUAAGUCAGUUGUGAAAGUUUGCGGCUUAACCGUUGAAUUGCAGUUGAUACUGGAAGUCUUGAGUACAGUAGAGGUAGGCGGAAUACGUGGUGUAGCGGUGAAAUGCUUAGAUAUCACGUAGAACUCCGAUAGCGAAGGCAGUUCACUGGACUGCAACUGACACUGAGGCUCGAGAGUGUGGGUAUCAAACAGGAUUAGAUACCCCCGUAGUC